Molecule: non-coding RNA, 440 nt
Organism: Cajanus cajan (pigeon pea)
Lineage: Eukaryota; Viridiplantae; Streptophyta; Magnoliopsida; Fabales; Fabaceae
Source: RefSeq, a predicted model, not a curated record
UGGAAGGGUUAAAGAUUCCACCACCCACCCACCGAAAGAAGGGAUAUCAUACACAAGAGAGAGAAAGAGAAGUGUUUUGCUUCCUCUGAUCUGGCGAAUCAUUCGUUCUAUCAAAAUUUCCCGAAAACUCCAAAACCCCCCUUUUAGAAAACUCGAUUAACAAUCUCAAUCUUCUUCAUCUCUCUAUCCUUCUCUUCCCCCAACCACAAUUUCAUUCAAAACUCUCUCUCAGGUGAUCAAGAGAAUCAAAGUUUGCUUAUCCAUAUUACAGAUCAUCUGAACAGAAGAGGGAGGGUACUGGUUUGCGGAGGCAAUUGGACUUCUGCGAGCUUAGAAUCCUCUCUCCUUUAUUUAUUUAUGAACGCAUUGUUAUUGGCCAGUGCUGCUGGGGUCUCCUUUUCUCAAAGCUUGCAUUUAGCGGCAUCAAUGUUUUGGUGAUC